Microcebus murinus (gray mouse lemur) is the source of this 760-nucleotide long non-coding RNA. RefSeq lists it as uncharacterized. The record is from RefSeq and is a predicted model, not a curated record. NCBI's taxonomy places the organism in Eukaryota, Metazoa, Chordata, Mammalia, Primates, Cheirogaleidae.
AGCGGGACAACUCCACGGCAACGAGAAAUCCUUUAUGCCGUCAUCUCAGCCCUGGGACUUGCCCAUCACAUGUGCUGGCCUUGCGAGCAUAUGAAGAAGUUUCCUCCAUGGGGUUCCUUCUGGAUACAAUUUGGGAACUGCUUGCUCCUCAAUCCAAGACUUCAGGCAACAAAGCAAUGAUCUGGCCCUAAAACUUCCCAGUAAGGGAUUUUGGAUGAAAGAGUUUAUUAGCUGGCUUCACUGGCUUGUCUCCCCAAAGCCUGAAACUAUACUUCAAACUUAGCUGCGGCCCUUUCUUUGUGAGCGUGCCAGCUAUGGAAGUGCAGGCCCAGCAGUGUUGGAACUUGCUUGCUGGCCCAAGAAAAGCCUCUUUGUUGUCAUGGAACAAGUCCUAGAGUCGGUGAGCUUGAAAGCCUGAAAGAAAUAAUUUAACCUCUCUGAGCUUCAAUUUCUCCAUCUGUAAAAUGGGAAUGAAAAUUCCAGUCCUGAAUUACUUCCAGGGCAGGUUUGAAACUCAAAUGGGAGAGUGCUGUGAAAUGGGAAAACACUAAAAAAGUAUCAGAUAUGAUUAUCAAAGCCAAACCACAUGAUCAUUCAAGUUGUGUUCUUUACAAAAUUCUUUCUCAUUUUAAAAAUACAUGCUCCAUUAGUUCAUUUAGGCCAAGCCUGUCCUCUCAGUCUGCAGCCAUAUUGAAUAAGCGAUGAGUACCAUACCUGGGCAAACUUAUGAAUAUGUCUUUGUAUUCACUUAAAGCAUAGG